Long non-coding RNA from Orcinus orca (killer whale), 1216 nucleotides. RefSeq lists it as uncharacterized. The record is from RefSeq and is a predicted model, not a curated record. The transcript is spliced from 3 exons. Lineage: Eukaryota; Metazoa; Chordata; Mammalia; Artiodactyla; Delphinidae.
CCGGGAAGUGCUGGUGGGGCAUAUCUCCGGGGUAUGCGCUCCGGUUUUCUGCGACCGUGUGGGCUCGGUGGGCGGGACCGGCAAAUCCCGGGACUCUCGAAAGACGGUUCCGGACCAGUACUCUCCCUAUCUCGGGUUCCGGCCUUCGUCCCGCAGGACUCCUCACAUCUUACGCCUGCUUAGCCCGCUAUCCUGUCCCACGCGCUUCUUCCCCUGGUAACAGUCCUGUGAGCUCUGCAGGCAAGGAGGGGCUAAUGAGCCCCAUUUCCGGCUGAGGAAACUCAAGCACCUUGCGAGGGACUGAACUAUGUUGUGUGUGUGUUUCUGGUAUCUGGUAUCUUCCUUUGGGUUUUUCCUCUAUAUUAAACAAUUGAAAAAAAGCACUGUUCCCCCCUCAUCCCAUCUAAAACCCGUGCCUCCGAAACCCUCGUUCUGGGCAUCCGGGAAACCCCAUUUUGCUCCCAAAACGCUUGUCACAUUCCACAGCAGGGCCCUCUCCACCGCCCAAGGAACAACAGGGGGCCAACUCCUUGAAGACAGUGAUUUAAUUUCCUCUCCAACAACAAAGCCCCCCAGGGCCAGAAGGCACCCCUGCCCUCCCCCAAUCAACCAGUUCUGCUCUGUGGAAUGGCAACGAAUAGCUGAAUGGUUACCUCAUUUAGAGCCUGCUUGCUUUCUUUUUUUUUUUUUUUUGCGGCACGCGGGCCUCUCACUGUUGUGGCCUCUCCCGUUGCGGGGCACAGGCUCCGGACGCGCAGGCUCAGCGGCCAUGGCUCACGGGCCCAGCCGCUCCGCGGCAUGUGGGAUCUUCCCGGACCGGGGCACGAACCCGUGUCCCCUGUAUCGGCAGGCGGAUUCUCAACCACUGCGCCACCAGGCUUAAAUAUUUAAGAAAUGUAUAAAUGACUGAAAAUCUACGAAAGAACUCUAAAAAACUUCGGGAAAAUGCUAAUGAAACACGAGAAGAAAAAGGCAUUCCUGGAUGACUGAAAACAAGGAAGUAAUUUUCGACUCCCCUUUACGUUCAGAAGCAUCAACAACAUACAAGUCUGUCCACACAGGCCUUGACUGCACAGCAAGCUUCAAAAAAUGUUUGUCACCAGAGCAAGAUAAUUUUUGCAACUUGUGAUAAUAAGAAGCUGGUUUGAUGAAAACCUUGCAGUUGUGAAAAAAAUGAUUUUUUGAAAUUUGUGGUUGAUAAAAAUGGUUUCUCACA